AUUGAACGCUGGCGGCAUGCCUUACACAUGCAAGUCGAACGGCAGCGCGGGGCAACCUGGCGGCGAGUGGCGAACGGGUGAGUAAUAUAUCGGAACAUACCCUAGAGUGGGGGAUAACGUAGCGAAAGUUACGCUAAUACCGCAUACGCACUAAGGUGGAAAGUGGGGGAUCUUCGGACCUCAUGCUCAUGGAGUGGCCGAUAUCUGAUUAGCUAGUUGGUGAGGUAAAGGCUCACCAAGGCGACGAUCAGUAGCUGGUUUGAGAGAACGACCAGCCACACUGGAACUGAGACACGGUCCAGACUCCUACGGAGGCAGCAGUGGGAAUUUUGGACAAUGGGGGGCAACCCUGACCCAGCAAUGCCGCGUGAGUGAAGAAGGCCUGGUGU
RNAcentral lists this ribosomal RNA (389 nucleotides) under uncultured bacterium. RNAcentral describes it as "bacterial SSU rRNA". It matches the Rfam family "Bacterial small subunit ribosomal RNA", at positions 30 to 422 of the family's 1533-position model. The record is from RNAcentral.